UUGGGGUGGUCCAGUCAAAUGUGGACGUCUUCUGCAAUCCUCGGAAAAUAUUCAAGAAUAAAAAACUGCAAAAAAAAGAAAAGAAUGGAAGACAUAUUAUUACAUGUAUAAAGAAUAAAACUAAAGAAAAUAAUAGAAUUAAAGAAGAGAAAACUUACAUGAAGAAAAACUGAACAACAUGAAAUUGUUUUGGGAUUUGCUCCCCCGUCUAUUUUUUUCUUUGCUUCCCCUAAGGCGCAAUGCAGCACGCCCAACAUGGCUGACCGCCCAACAUGACUGAUCCCCAAGAAUAAUCCUUGAUUUCAUCAUUAUUCCUUAACAAUUCAAGGUACAUAGAAGGCACAGCAUUUUGUAUAGGGGAGGGGUAAAGUAAGCAUCCUAUAACGUACAGCGCAUACGCUCGUACGUAUCUAUCUAAAUUAACCCCACCAGUGCCCGGGGAACAACCAUUAGGGAUUGUCUAAGCAAAUCUAAAUCUACAAAACUAGCACCUCUAUUAGCUAGAAUUAAAUCCUGGGUGCCAAGGAGUUCUUCGAGGAAAGGUAUGCUGUCCUCCCUUUUCCAAUCCAU
Molecule: long non-coding RNA, 570 nt
Filed under: Panax ginseng (ginseng)
Lineage: Eukaryota; Viridiplantae; Streptophyta; Magnoliopsida; Apiales; Araliaceae
Description: long non-coding RNA (PGIN_LNC018051)
Source: RNAcentral